Molecule: unclassified non-coding RNA, 307 nt
Filed under: Hevea brasiliensis (rubber tree)
Lineage: Eukaryota; Viridiplantae; Streptophyta; Magnoliopsida; Malpighiales; Euphorbiaceae
Source: RNAcentral
AUAACCAACAAAUAGGUAAAACCAAAGCCACAAUACAAAAGCCAUCCCAAAAAAGAACUGCAAAAGGCUAUAGUAAAGGGAGGCAACUUCGCCUGUUAAGCCAAAACUAUUUGGUCAUUCUUCUCUCCUUAGCAUGUGGCAUUGGAGCUGUGAAGAAACAAACGUUGGAAAGUUACUGAAAUAGCCUCAGAAGAGCCGAGGUCGGGGAGGAACUAUGUAUAUCUUUCCUGACCUGAAGUCUGAAUACUCCGGCAUCAUCUUUUGGUCAACAACUGGAAUUAUGUUGGUCCUGAGAUUAAUGUCAGAG